RNAcentral lists this ribosomal RNA (253 nucleotides) under uncultured bacterium. Its description in RNAcentral is "partial 16S ribosomal RNA". It matches the Rfam family "Bacterial small subunit ribosomal RNA", at positions 524 to 776 of the family's 1533-position model. The record is from RNAcentral.
UACGUAGGGGGCAAGCGUUGUCCGGAAUCAUUGGGCGUAAAGCGCGUGUAGGCGGCUCGAUAAGUCCGUUCUGAAAGUCCAGGGCUCAACCCUGGGAUGCGGAUGGAUACUGUCGAGCUCGAGUCCGGAAGAGGCGAGUGGAAUUCCUGGUGUAGCGGUGAAAUGCGCAGAUAUCAGGAGGAACACCAAUGGCGAAGGCAGCUCGCUGGGACGUGACUGACGCUGAGACGCGAAAGCAUGGGGAGCAAACAGG